UGAAGCUUGGGGUGCUCGAAGAGAACCUGGACACAGGUGCUGCAUGGCUGUCGUCAGCUCGUGUCGUGAGAUGUUGGGUUAAGUCCCGCAACGAGCGCAACCCUUGUCAUUAGUUGCUACAUUUAGUUGGGCACUCUAAUGAGACUGCCGGUGACAAACCGGAGGAAGGUGGGGAUGACGUCAAGUCCUCAUGGCCCUUAUGGGUAGGGCUUCACACGUCAUACAAUGGUCGGUACAGAGGGCAGCAAAGCCGCGAGGUGGAGCCAAUCUCACAAAGCCGAUCGUAGUCCGGAUUGGAGUCUGCA
This 305-nucleotide ribosomal RNA is filed under the name uncultured bacterium. RNAcentral describes it as "bacterial SSU rRNA". It matches the Rfam family "Bacterial small subunit ribosomal RNA", at positions 1003 to 1309 of the family's 1533-position model. The record is from RNAcentral.